RNAcentral lists this long non-coding RNA (721 nucleotides) under Mustela putorius furo (domestic ferret). RNAcentral describes it as "lncRNA (ENSMPUG00000027216.1)". Lineage: Eukaryota; Metazoa; Chordata; Mammalia; Carnivora; Mustelidae. The record is from RNAcentral.
CAGCAAAUGUCAUUUAAGAACAUGUUAAUCUGAUUUCCAAUUCCAUGAUCAUGUAGGUGGACACUGUUCGUGCCAUAUGCAAUGGUCUUGUCACCGGCAUCAGUGACACACAUGGAGAUCUUUAACAAUGUGCUCAUGACUAAAGGUUAUAGUAGAGGGACUAAUGUCCCCCCCCCCCCGCCUCAAAGAUAUCUGCAUCCUGAUCCCCGGGACCUGUGAAUAUUUACCUUCUCUGGCAAAAGGGACUUUCCAGGUAUGAUUAUGGGUAUGGAUUUCGAGAUGGGAGAUUAUCCUGAAUGAUCCAGGUAGGACCAAUCUAAAUCUCACUUAUGCUCAAAAGUGGGAGAGGGAGGCAGAGGAGUGCGUCUGAAGAACGUGAGGUGGGGAACUGACCUAUUGCUGUAGCUUUGUAAAAUGGAGAAGAGGGCUGUGAGAAACAAAGGCACCUCUAGAAUCUAGAAAAGGCAAGGAAGCAGAUUCUGCCCUAGAGCCUCGAGAAAAGAAUGCUGCCCUAUUAUAACUUUUUUUUUUUUUAGCUCAAUGAGAUACGUUUGAUUACUGAACUAUAGAACUGCAAGAUGAUAUAUUUUUAUUGUUUUAAACCACUUUGACACCUUUUCAAGUGUCAUCUAACAUUUCAAGUCAUCACAUCUAACAUUUAUAUAAAUAGAAGAAGAAAAGCCCCUUAAUUUAUAUCACUUAGUAACAUCAAACAUUUUUC